This is a long non-coding RNA of Cydia fagiglandana, 2494 nucleotides long. RefSeq lists it as uncharacterized. NCBI's taxonomy places the organism in Eukaryota, Metazoa, Arthropoda, Insecta, Lepidoptera, Tortricidae. The transcript is spliced from 3 exons. The record is from RefSeq and is a predicted model, not a curated record.
AUACGUGCGCUGUGUGCACGUGCGAGUUCCCGACACGGCAGGUGAAGUGCCCGCGCGUGCGGUGCCCGCCGCUCAAGUGCUCGGACAAGGAGGCGUACAGGCCAGAUAAGAAGGCGUGCUGCCGGGUGUGUCCUGAGAAAAAACCUGAAGACGAAUCGCUCAUUAAAGAUCAAGAAGGUGCACCGAAGACUGCGGAAGAAAUCCUGGCCGAGGGAGGAUGCAAGUUCCCCUACGGACCGCUGCCCAACGGCAAGGAGGUGCACCCCAACAUACACUCGCACGGCGAGCAGCGAUGCGUCACUUGUCGCUGCAAGGAUGGCGAGGUGACGUGUGUGAAGAAACGGUGCGGGCGCGGCGCGUGUUUGCGGCGGCGGCGGGGCGACACGUGCUGCGCGUGCCCGCGCCACCGCCGCCAACGCGCGCCGCGCCUGGCGCGCCCGCCGCCGCCGCCGCCCAGCUGAGCGGCCGGCGCCACCCCGACACCGACCACCCUGCUAUGUUAACAUCUGCGGCUAGCGGGACUUAACGCUGCAGCGAUACGGCCGGCCGACCGGCGGGUGUUGACAUGACACGGGUACCCGGGGCCCCGCCGUCGGGCCCCGUCGCCGGACGGCUCGUAGGCUAAGUGAGUGAACGCUUCGCUCUAAUAGACUGAUAUAUUUUUAUGUACUCGUGCGAUUCGAAUGUCUAGUUGUAGUCGGCGGUCGCGCCGCGACCGCGUCGGCCCGGGAUUCCGAUCGACGGACGAAUUUUAGCUUUACUGUGUAUUAUUCGGCGAUGAAUAUUUACUUACCCACCGGUAUUUUAAUUGGUAUUAUGAUGUCACGAAAUUUUAUAGGCGCAUUACACGCUGACCCGACAAUAAACACGUUCAGAGUAUUAGAGCUCGCGCCCGGGAGUGAGAGAAGGCGAGCGGUUGAUAUCGUUGAAGAUGUGCCAUAUUCUCUUAAUGUAAAUAUAAAUUAUUAUUUUUUACUUUACUCAUGUGCAUAUUUAUUUACGAUUGUAACGUGUAUGUGCGUCACGCACGCUUAGGUAGUCGUGUUUGAACCAUCACAAGCUAUCAUUGGAUUGGUCGCCUGAUUUGUGCAUUUGCUUUUAGUUUUAUGUCAGUACAGUUAACUAAUUUAAUUUGUAGUCCUCUGUGGAAACUUGUCUGAAGGUGCUUUUUAGUCGUUGCAGCAAAGUAAGGAGCAGCUUUUAUAUUAUCGCCUGCAAAACAGUCAUACGUUUCCGUCUAUUGUUUCAUAGCCUAUAAUAUAAAGUGUUUAAUCCUGGUCUCGACUGGAAAAGCACCAUGCUAUACUAACGUUUAUUGACGUGUUUAUGGCAUUAUGAUGAGCUUGCACAGUGGCCUACAGGUCAAUAUUGAUUGAGUGUACGUAUGCCAGUGCGUGAAAUCGAGUCACACACGGACUCCUCAAGCGACAGAUAUUGUUAUUCAUUCAUUAUAAGUAAUUAUGUCACGUAGGUUAUAAAUAGGUGCAGAUAAGAUGUGGCGGCCGACACCACGUCGCCGGAAUGUGAAUGUGUAAAUAAUUUAGGUAUCACUUUACGGUAAUGUUUAAUUGCUAAAUAGUAAUUAACGUUUUGCAUUGUAUAUUAUUUUAUACUGAUUACACACGGAUUGUACUGCUAUGGUUCAAUAAGUAGGUAGCGACUAGUUUGAUUAAUUACUAGGUUAACGAUUAGUUACGUAAUUAAGGAAGCUAGUCCAAAUGUUUGAAGGAGGAAGCCAGGUAGCCAAGAACCAUUUUGAGAAAUCAUUUUACAAUUCAUUAUAAGUUACUUAAGUAUACUUUUAACUUAAGGAUUUAAAAAAUUAGGCAUAAAGAACAAAAUUCACGUUAUUGUGGGUUCUAGUCCAUCAAAAUAUGUAUUUGAUUUUGUGAUUACAUUUUAUGUUACGGCUAUUUUGUGGAUGUCAUAUGGAUAUCACUCAAUAACAAAGGCACAAGGAGUUCUCUUGAUUUAAUUUUUGUUUAAUCUAACAAUAGGGAAGUAGCACUAUGGCUUGCGAAUAACAUAAACUAAUGGCCAUAAAGGAUACUAUGAAUUCGCUUGUACUGCAAUGUUUUAUUAUUUAACAAUUAUUUUAAUUAUCUAUGUCAUCUAUUGAAUGGCGAAUGACGUAGGUAAUAAUAUUAUGGCCACACGGUCCUCCAUGUGUCGUGUUGCCAAUAUAUUUCUGUUAUAUGUAGGUAUGUACAGAUUGUACAGUCGCCAUUAGAUGUAUUGGAAUGGCUAAGGUGCUCAAAAAUAUAUAUCGUAAUAUGCACUAUAUUGGUGACCACUUUAGUCGUUCCAAUGGCGAGUUUGCCCAUACUGAGAGGACUUCAAACACUGAACCAAAUUUGAUCAACCAUUUCGUUAUUAUACCUUUACAUGUGUAAUUUAAUGUCUUCCUAAAUUUGCAUAUCGUGAGUUGUUUAGACUCUAUCAAUAGUUUGUAAACAGUACGGUUAAAGAAAUAAAAUUACCUGUGAACACAACA